AUUGAACGCUGGCGGUAUGCUUAACACAUGCAAGUCGAACGGUAGCAGGCCUUCGGGCGCUGACGAGUGGCGGACGGGUGAGUAACGCGUAGGAAUCUGCCUCAUAGUGGGGGACAACGUGGGGAAACUCACGCUAAUACCGCAUACGCCCUACGGGGAAAGGACGGGGGAGUCUUCGGACCUCGCGCUAUGAGAUGAGCCUGCGUUAGAUUAGCUAGUUGGUAGGGUAAAGGCCUACCAAGGCGACGAUCUAUAGCUGGUCUGAGAGGACGAUCAGCCACACUGGGACUGAGACACGGCCCAGACUCCUACGGGAGGCAGCAGUGGGGGAAUAUUGGACAAUGGGCGAAAGCCUGAUCCAGCAAUGCCGCGUGAGUGAUGAAGGCCUUAGGGUUGUAAAGCUCUUUUACCAGGGAUGAUAAUGACAGUACCUGGAGAAUAAGCUCCGGCUAACUCCGUGCCAGCAGCCGCGGUAAU
RNAcentral lists this ribosomal RNA (477 nucleotides) under uncultured bacterium. RNAcentral's name for it is "bacterial SSU rRNA". It matches the Rfam family "Bacterial small subunit ribosomal RNA", at positions 30 to 524 of the family's 1533-position model. The record is from RNAcentral.